GCGUUGGUGGUUUCGUGGUAGAAUUUUCGCCUGCCACGCAGAUGGCCCGGAGUUCACUUCUCUGCCGAAGCA
RNAcentral lists this transfer RNA (72 nucleotides) under Trichobilharzia regenti. It matches the Rfam family "tRNA". From Rfam's summary of the family: Transfer RNA (tRNA) molecules are approximately 80 nucleotides in length. Their secondary structure includes four short double-helical elements and three loops (D, anti-codon, and T loops). Lineage: Eukaryota; Metazoa; Platyhelminthes; Trematoda; Strigeidida; Schistosomatidae. The record is from Rfam by way of RNAcentral.